UACGUAGGGUGCGAGCGUUAAUCGGAAUUACUGGGCGUAAAGCGUGCGCAGGCGGUUUUGUAAGCCAGAUGUGAAAUCCCCGGGCUCAACCUGGGAAUGGCAUUUGGGACUGCAAGGCUGGAGUACGGCAGAGGAGACUGGAAUUCCUGGUGUAGCAGUGAAAUGCGUAGAUAUCAGGAGGAAUACCGAUGGCGAAGGCAGGUCUCUGAGCUGAUACUGACGCUCAUGCACGAAAGCGUGGGGAGCAAACAGG
Molecule: ribosomal RNA, 253 nt
Filed under: uncultured bacterium
Lineage: Bacteria
Description: partial 16S ribosomal RNA
Rfam family: Bacterial small subunit ribosomal RNA
Source: RNAcentral